UGAGGAAUAUUGGUCAAUGGGCGAGAGCCUGAACCAGCCAAGUAGCGUGCAGGAUGACGGCCCUAUGGGUUGUAAACUUCUUUUAUAUGGGAAUAAAGUGAGGGACGUGUCCCUUAUUGCAUGUACCAUAUGAAUAAGGACCGGCUAAUUCCGUGCCAGCAGCCGCGGUAAUACGGAAGGUCCAGGCGUUAUCCGGAUUUAUUGGGUUUAAAGGGAGCGUAGGCUGUUUGUUAAGCGUGUUGUGAAAUGUAAGGGCUCAACUUUUAGGUUGCAGCGCGAACUGGCAUACUGGAGUGCGCACAACGUAGGCGGAGUUAUUGGUGUAGCGGUGAAAUGCUUAGAUAUCAUGACGAACUCCGAUUGCGAAGGCAGCUUACAAGAGCGCAACUGACGCUAAAGCUCGAAGGUACGGGUAUCGAACAGG
This 424-nucleotide ribosomal RNA is filed under the name Verrucomicrobiota bacterium. RNAcentral describes it as "Verrucomicrobia bacterium partial 16S ribosomal RNA". It matches the Rfam family "Bacterial small subunit ribosomal RNA", at positions 355 to 776 of the family's 1533-position model. The record is from RNAcentral. Lineage: Bacteria; Pseudomonadati; Verrucomicrobiota.